Molecule: long non-coding RNA, 772 nt
Filed under: Manihot esculenta (cassava)
Lineage: Eukaryota; Viridiplantae; Streptophyta; Magnoliopsida; Malpighiales; Euphorbiaceae
Description: long non-coding RNA (MESC_LNC001384)
Source: RNAcentral
UCAAUAUCUUAAAAAAAAUAUCGCAUAAUUUAAUUAAUAAUAUAUUGUAUGCACAAAUAAUUAUUUUUUUAUCGUAAGAUAAAGAAUUUAUUAAUUAAAUUGAUAUAGAGCAUCAUCUUACAUAUGAUCAGAUUAAAAAAUCCAAUAAAAGAAGUUAAUUUUUAAAGCUAAAAUUGAUCGGUUAUGUCCAUACCGAUGGAAGAGACCCAUCGUAAAACUAAAACUUCCUUUUGAUAAUCGAAACGCCCUCACCAACAAAUAAGCUAUGGAGAUCAUCCCCGGAAAAUUUUACCAGACUUAUCGAAGCACAAAAUAAAAGAAAAAAUGCAUAUAAAUCCUGAAAAAAUAUAUCUAACUCCAUAGCCAGUUUAAUCAAACCAUCCUCAUAUUAAUGUAGGCAUCGACGAAAGGAGAAGACACAAUACUAUUCAGCGACCUGUUUGCAUCUUUCAAAAUUCAUCUCUUCUAGUCCUCACCAUCAAUAUCUAGUGAGAAAAGGAAGCUGUGAUCGAUCUAGAUAGAAAUGCAUAUCCAUGCAAUCAAACACACAACCAAAAUACAUGGUAAAAAGAAAAAAUUCAUCUUGUUCUCCACAGCUCUUCCAAACAAGAAAAAUCAACAACAAAAAAACAAUUAAAAAAUAAAUCUAAAAAGACCACCUAAAAAUGGAGAGGAAACCCACUCUCCGAACAACAAGGAAGGAGCUCCUUCUAUUAGGCAGGAAAAGCCGAUGAGGUAGUAGACAAAGGGACUUUUUUUUAAAGAAGCGAAA